Long non-coding RNA from Cucumis sativus (cucumber), 732 nucleotides. RefSeq lists it as uncharacterized. The record is from RefSeq and is a predicted model, not a curated record. The transcript has 2 exons. NCBI's taxonomy places the organism in Eukaryota, Viridiplantae, Streptophyta, Magnoliopsida, Cucurbitales, Cucurbitaceae.
GUUCAUUAAGAAAUUAUUACAAUGGGUUAUGAUCAAAAGAUGAAUAUGCACAAGUUUUUCUUCAUCUAUUUUACUGCCAUGCUUUUGUUUUCCCUUUGUGUUUACUCAAAUGUGGAGGAGGAAGCGAAGGUAGCACAUUCACAGCCGAUAGUUUGUUCUACAAUUUGCUCGAGCACUUCCCCUUAUGAAAACGAACAAUGUCAAAAUUCAUGCAUUCGAAGAAGAUUUGAAAAUGGAAGAUGUGCGGUGGGAGGCCCAGAUGGAAAAAUACCAUGUUGUUGCACUUUUAGUUAAAACACUAUUAUUAGCAAUUUUACCAGUUUUAGAUAAGUGAUACGAUUGAUAAAAUAUCAAUAAAUAUUGUAAUGGUUUUGCCAAUUUGAUUAAUAGAAGUUGCUACAAAAAAUUAUUAUUGAACUAAAUUAUAAAGGAAUAUUAAUUUCAUACAUCAAUUCCGUUGUAGUCUAGUUGGUUAGGAUAUUCGGCUCUCACCCGAAAGACCCGGGUUCAAGUCCCGGCAACGGAAUAUAUUUUUUUAAUAAACUUUUGUUAAAAGUUAGUCGUGGGACUUUAGAUGAUUUAUAAAUACUUUAAUUCGGGUAGAAGUAGACUCCUCCAAACGUGAGUAGUGAUGAGCUAAACUCACCUAUGAGAAACAGUGAUUUGUGAUCAGAUUGUUUCUGAAGGAGAAAAAAACUUCUCUAAGAAGUCCUCAAUGGGAUGUAAAUUUAU